This 1371-nucleotide ribosomal RNA is filed under the name uncultured bacterium. RNAcentral's name for it is "bacterial SSU rRNA". It matches the Rfam family "Bacterial small subunit ribosomal RNA", at positions 28 to 1381 of the family's 1533-position model. The record is from RNAcentral.
GAUGAACGCUGGCGGCGUGCCUAAUACAUGCAAGUCGAGCGAACGGACGAGAAGCUUGCUUCUCUGAUGUUAGCGGCGGACGGGUGAGUAACACGUGGAUAACCUACCUAUAAGACUGGGAUAACUUCGGGAAACCGGAGCUAAUACCGGAUAAUAUUUUGAACCGCAUGGUUCAAAAGUGAAAGACGGUCUUGCUGUCACUUAUAGAUGGAUCCGCGCUGCAUUAGCUAGUUGGUAAGGUAACGGCUUACCAAGGCAACGAUGCAUAGCCGACCUGAGAGGGUGAUCGGCCACACUGGAACUGAGACACGGUCCAGACUCCUACGGGAGGCAGCAGUAGGGAAUCUUCCGCAAUGGGCGAAAGCCUGACGGAGCAACGCCGCGUGAGUGAUGAAGGUCUUCGGAUCGUAAAACUCUGUUAUUAGGGAAGAACAUAUGUGUAAGUAACUGUGCACAUCUUGACGGUACCUAAUCAGAAAGCCACGGCUAACUACGUGCCAGCAGCCGCGGUAAUACGUAGGUGGCAAGCGUUAUCCGGAAUUAUUGAGCGUAAAGCGCGCGUAGGCGGUUUUUUAGUCUGAUGUGAAAGCCCACGGCUCAACCGUGGAGGGUCAUUGGAAACUGGAAAACUUGAGUGCAGAAGAGGAAAGUGGAAUUCCAUGUGUAGCGGUGAAAUGCGCAGAGAUAUGGAGGAACACCAGUGGCGAAGGCGACUUUCUGGUCUGUAACUGACGCUGAUGUGCGAAAGCGUGGGGAUCAAACAGGAUUAGAUACCCUGGUAGUCCACGCCGUAAACGAUGAGUGCUAAGUGUUAGGGGGUUUCCGCCCCUUAGUGCUGCAGCUAACGCAUUAAGCACUCCGCCUGGGGAGUACGACCGCAAGGUUGAAACUCAAAGGAAUUGACGGGGACCCGCACAAGCGGUGGAGCAUGUGGUUUAAUUCGAAGCAACGCGAAGAACCUUACCAAAUCUUGACAUCCUUUGACAACUCUAGAGAUAGAGCCUUCCCCUUCGGGGGACAAAGUGACAGGUGGUGCAUGGUUGUCGUCAGCUCGUGUCGUGAGAUGUUGGGUUAAGUCCCGCAACGAGCGCAACCCUUAAGCUUAGUUGCCAUCAUUAAGUUGGGCACUCUAAGUUGACUGCCGGUGACAAACCGGAGGAAGGUGGGGAUGACGUCAAAUCAUCAUGCCCCUUAUGAUUUGGGCUACACACGUGCUACAAUGGACAAUACAAAGGGCAGCGAAACCGCGAGGUCAAGCAAAUCCCAUAAAGUUGUUCUCAGUUCGGAUUGUAGUCUGCAACUCGACUACAUGAAGCUGGAAUCGCUAGUAAUCGUAGAUCAGCAUGCUACGGUGAAUACGUUCCCGGGUCU